CUGCCAUGAGGAAAAUAGUGCAGAACCAACCGAGUGCUGCCUGCCACUGCCAGCAAAAGCAACAGCAACAAUGAUCCAGACGAUAGCCAAAGCCCAGACUGUUCUGUGCAGUCCCUGAUAGAGGGCAUGUGGCACAGAUGGGUAGUCUGGGGUCUCCCUGAGGGCAAAGGCCAAGCCAAACACCACUGCCAUGAGGAAAAUAGUGCAGAACCAACCGAGUGCUGCCUGCCACUGCCAGCAAAAGCAACAGCAACAAUGAUCCAGACGAUAGCCAAAGCCCAGACUGUUCUGUGCAGUCCCUGAUAGAGGGCAUGUGGCACAGAUGGGUAGUCUGGGGUCUCCCUGAGGGCAAAGGCCAAGCCAAACACCACUGCCAUGAGGAAAAUAGUGCAGAACCAACCGAGUGCUGCCUGCCACUGCCAGCAAAAGCAACAGCAACAAUGAUCCAGACGAUAGCCAAAGCCCAGACUGUUCUGUGCAGUCCCUGAUAGAGGGCAUGUGGCACAGAUGGGUAGUCUGGGGUCUCCCUGAG
Long non-coding RNA from Solea senegalensis (Senegalese sole), 532 nucleotides. RefSeq lists it as uncharacterized. The transcript is spliced from 4 exons. The record is from RefSeq and is a predicted model, not a curated record. Lineage: Eukaryota; Metazoa; Chordata; Actinopteri; Pleuronectiformes; Soleidae.